GGCAGCAGUAGCUCAGUGGUUAAAAUGUUUGCCUACCAAUCAGAAGGACACGAUUUCAAAUCCCAGCACUGCCA
Non-coding RNA from Pangasius djambal, 74 nucleotides. The record is from the annotation of a GenBank genome assembly. NCBI's taxonomy places the organism in Eukaryota, Metazoa, Chordata, Actinopteri, Siluriformes, Pangasiidae.